RNAcentral lists this ribosomal RNA (292 nucleotides) under uncultured bacterium. RNAcentral's name for it is "partial 16S ribosomal RNA". The record is from RNAcentral. RNAcentral also lists the same sequence under 1 other name.
GGACUACUAGGGUUUCUAAUCCCGUUCGCUCCCCUAGCUUUCGCGCCUCAGCGUCAGAUGAGAUCCAGUCCGCCGCUUUCGCCACCGGCGUUCCUUCCGAUAUCUACGCAUUUCACCGCUCCACCGGAAGUUCCGCAGACCCCUAUCUCCCUCGAGACUUGCAGUAUCAAAGGCUGUUCUCCGGUUGAGCCGGAGGAUUUCACCCCUGACUUACAAGCCCGCCUACGCGCCCUUUAAGCCCAGUGAAUCCGAACAACGUUCGCACGGUUCGUCUUACCGCGGCUGCUGGCAC